UACAGAGGUCCCAAGCGUUGUUCGGAUUCACUGGGCGUAAAGAGCUCGUAGGCGGCCUGUUGCGUCCGCUGUGAAAGCCCGGGGCUUAACCCCGGGUCGGCAGUGGAUACGGGCAGGCUAGAGGUAGGUAGGGGAGAAUGGAAUUCCCGGUGUAGCGGUGAAAUGCGCAGAUAUCGGGAGGAACACCGGUGGCGAAGGCGGUUCUCUGGGCCUUACCUGACGCUGAGGCACGAAAGCCAGGGGAGCAAACGGG
RNAcentral lists this ribosomal RNA (253 nucleotides) under uncultured bacterium. RNAcentral describes it as "partial 16S ribosomal RNA". It matches the Rfam family "Bacterial small subunit ribosomal RNA", at positions 524 to 776 of the family's 1533-position model. The record is from RNAcentral.